CCCUUUCUAAAAAGCACUUGCUGGGUCUGCGGUCAGUGACUCGGUGAGUUGUCGUGGAAGGGCACAAGAACGGCAUCGCUUUUGGGUGAGGUGGCAGCAUGUGCUGUUAACUUCAGUGAGUGGUGUGACAGUG
Molecule: small nucleolar RNA, 133 nt
Filed under: Pelusios castaneus (West African mud turtle)
Lineage: Eukaryota; Metazoa; Chordata; Testudines; Pelomedusidae
Source: RNAcentral